Molecule: ribosomal RNA, 603 nt
Filed under: uncultured bacterium
Lineage: Bacteria
Description: bacterial SSU rRNA
Rfam family: Bacterial small subunit ribosomal RNA
Source: RNAcentral
CCUACGGGAGGCAGCAGUAAGGAAUAUUGGUCAAUGGACGCAAGUCUGAACCAGCCAUGCCGCGUGCAGGAUGACGGCCCUCUGGGUUGUAAACUGCUUUUGUACGGGAAGAAACCUCUCUACGUGUAGAGAGCUGACGGUACCGUAAGAAUAAGGACCGGCUAACUUCGUGCCAGCAGCCGCGGUAAUACGAAGGGUCCAAGCGUUAUCCGGAUUUAUUGGGUUUAAAGGGUGCGUAGGCGGCUUAUUAAGUCAGUGGUGAAAGACUUCAGCUUAACUGAAGAACUGCCAUUGAUACUGAUGAGCUUGAAUAUACUUGAGGUGGGCGGAAUGUGUCAUGUAGCGGUGAAAUGCUUAGAUAUGACACAGAACACCGAUUGCGAAGGCAGCUCGCUAAAGUAUGAUUGACGCUGAGGCACGAAAGCGUGGGGAGCAAACAGGAUUAGAUACCCUGGUAGUCCACGCCCUAAACGUUGAUAACUCGAUGUGUGCGAUAUACAGUACGCGUCCAAGCGAAAGCAUAAGUAUCCACCUGGGAAGUGGUUGCAAGAUUGAAACUUCAAGGAUUGACGGNNGNGAGNGCGAGCGACGACGAGGAGGAGG